ACAGGAAUAGAGGCUGUGCUGAUGUUAAAUGUCCCUCCUUUGUCUUUGCAGGAACCACUGUGGUACUAAGCAGAACCCCUAGGAUAUCAGGAACUCCCCACCCAGGAACUUCCAAGGAAACAGCUGAAACAACCACUGCUCCUGUGAUUGCUACUACAGUCCCUGCUUCCACCGGACCCAAAGAAUCUGCAGGAACGGGAGCACAAUCAGGAUGUCCAGCAACACCUCCACCAGCUCCAGUUUGUCAUGGUCCACUGGGAGAAAAGAAAUCUCCUGGAGACACUUGGACUGCCAAUUGCUACCAGUGUACCUGUACUGAUGCAAAGACUGUAGACUGUCGACCUAAAGAAUGUCCCUCUCCACCUACAUGCAAACCUGGGGAAAAGCGCGUCCUGUUUAAAGCUAAUGACACCUGCUGUGAAAUUGGACACUGUGAACCAAGGACAUGUUUCUAUAACAACACUGACUAUGAGAUUGGUGCUUCAUUCGAUGACCCCAGCAACCCUUGUGUCUCCUACUCCUGCAGUAGUGCUGGCUUGAUUACAGUCAUCCAGGACUGCCCGAAGCAGACCUGGUGUGCAGAAGUAAGUCACCUGCCCCCUUACCAAUAGCAAGAUCGCUUCUUGUUAAACACAAACCCAACCCAUCUUCUCUCACACGAAAAAGUUUGCACCUGGCCCGUACACUUAAAUCUCGUAGUCAUUUUGUUUUUGUACCGGUGAUCGAACUUAGGUCCUUGUGCUUGUGAUGCAGGCAGCAGAACCACUGAGCUAAAUCCCCAGC
This 783-nucleotide long non-coding RNA is filed under the name Fukomys damarensis (Damara mole-rat). RNAcentral describes it as "lncRNA (ENSFDAG00000026506.1)". The record is from RNAcentral. Lineage: Eukaryota; Metazoa; Chordata; Mammalia; Rodentia; Bathyergidae.